Molecule: long non-coding RNA, 927 nt
Filed under: Ictidomys tridecemlineatus (thirteen-lined ground squirrel)
Lineage: Eukaryota; Metazoa; Chordata; Mammalia; Rodentia; Sciuridae
Description: lncRNA (ENSSTOG00000033219.1)
Source: RNAcentral
GCUGGGCACGAGGCCGCCGGGCCAGCCCCGAGCGGAGCUGUUCUCUUACCUGCCGCCCGCCGGGGUGCCUGCUGUUUCCUCCUUGGCAUAUCGCUCUACUUCGCUCCAGUCCCACUUCUGGCGCCCCAGCCCCGAGCCGCGCGCGGGGGCCCGCUGUCUCUCUCGCCUCUCUGGGUCUCCUCCGCCUCUUGCCCGGUGGCUCCUAGGACGUCACUCGGCCUCUGUCCCCCUGACGAUCCCCCCAGUAACUCCUCCACCACGGGCCAGAGACCCCCCUCUCUGGGUGGCAGACACGGUGGCUUGUGCCGGCUGGUUUGAAGUGGAGGUUGGCUCUGCCUUGUUUGUUUGUUUUGUUUUGUUUUUUUUCCUCUCUCUCUCUCCUCUCUCUUUUUGUUUUUUUGCUUUUGGAAUUUUUUUUUUUUGUUUUUGCGCUUUUUUUUUUUUUUUUUUUUGUGACUGGUGAGACACUUGAUUUCUUUAUUAAACAUCCAAGACCGGGUUCAGAUGGAAGGGACGGGGGGCGCACACGCGCCACACGCACACGCGCGCGUAAAGAUAAGGGGAAAAACCCCAAUCCUGGGAAGGUAGUAGGUUUCUUCUUCUUCUUCUUUUUCUUCUUCUUCUUCCUUCUCCUCUUUCCCUCCUCCUCCUCCUCCACCUCCUCCUCCUCCUCCACCUCCUCCUCCACCUCCUCUCCUCUUCCUCCUCCUCCUCCUCCUCCCCGAUCUCGAUGGCGGACUCGCGCAGGGGGAGAGAUCACUCACGAGUUGGCUGCCUACAGCUGGUGACAGUGUUUUGCUACUGCUGAGGAAUCCAGAACAAGUCUUUGGCCCAGUAAUCCAUUGCUGAACUUCAUUAACCACAGGAAGACAUUAAGUGAAGGUAAGGACCGGAACAGCCUGGGAACCACGUGACAGCAGCCUUUAA